GAUGAACGCUGGCGGCGUGCCUAAUACAUGCAAGUCGAGCGAACGGACGAGAAGCUUGCUUUUCUGAUGUUAGCGGCGGACGGGUGAGUAACACGUGGAUAACCUACCUAUAAGACUGGGAUAACUUCGGGAAACCGGAGCUAAUACCGGAUAAUAUUUUGAACCGCAUGGUUCAAAAGUGAAAGACGGUCUUGCUGUCACUUAUAGAUGGAUCCGCGCUGCAUUAGCUAGUUGGUAAGGUAACGGCUUACCAAGGCAACGAUGCAUGGCCGACCUGAGAGGGUGAUUGGCCACACUGGAACUGAGACACGGUCCAGACUCCUACGGGAGGCAGCAGUAGGGAAUCUUCCGCAAUGGGCGAAAGCCUGACGGAGCAACGCCGCGUGAGUGAUGAAGGUCUUCGGAUCGUAAAACUCUGUUAUUAGGGAAGAACAUAUGUGUAAGUAACUGUGCACAUCUUGACGGUACCUAAUCAGAAAGCCACGGCUAACUACGUG
This 497-nucleotide ribosomal RNA is filed under the name uncultured bacterium. RNAcentral's name for it is "partial 16S ribosomal RNA". It matches the Rfam family "Bacterial small subunit ribosomal RNA", at positions 28 to 507 of the family's 1533-position model. The record is from RNAcentral.